RNAcentral lists this long non-coding RNA (1004 nucleotides) under Ficedula albicollis (Collared flycatcher). RNAcentral describes it as "lncRNA (ENSFALG00000022370.2)". The record is from RNAcentral. Lineage: Eukaryota; Metazoa; Chordata; Aves; Passeriformes; Muscicapidae.
GGGGGGGGGGGGGGGGGGGGGGGGGGGGGGGGGGGGGGGGGGGGGGGGGGGGGGGGGGCUCGGGGCCUGCUGCCGCCGUGCGGGGUUUGUUUAUCGAGCGUUUCGACCAUAAAUCAUAGUAUUGACAGUAGCGUUGUUCGGGAAGAGGCUCUUCUCCGUGCCCUCAAAGCGCGUGUUGCGGGUGAGGAGGGGUUUUUAGAAGGGUCUGGAGCGCACGUCACAUGAGGAGCAGCUGCGGGAGCUGAGGCUGUUCAGCCUGGACAAGAGGAGGCUCAGCAGGCACCUUCCCGCUCGACAGCUCCCUGAAAGGAGCUCGUAGCCGCAUGGGGGUUGGCCUCUUCCACCGAGUAAUAAAUGGUAGGACGAGUGCGAAUGGCCGGGAAACGGUCCCAAGUUGUGCCAUAGGAGGUUUAGAUGGGAUAUCAGGGAAAAGUCCCUCACAGAAAGGGUGAAACAUUGGAACCGGCUGCCUAGGGAAGUGGGGGAGUCACUGUCCCUGCAAGCGUUCAGAAAAGCUGUAACGAGCACUGAUAUGAACGUUUGGGGUUUGUUUGUUUGUUGUUGUUUUGUUUUUAAUCUGCCUUUUUAAAGGGAAUUGUACUUUAACAGAAUAGCACUAUUCCAUUAUUGCUGUUACAAGAACCCAGUGAUCUCGGGUGCCAGAGACGGGCGUGGUGGGAGCGCUGUCCCCCUGUUUACUCUGUGUUCCAGCAUUAGAGAAACGGCCAGAAAGUGAACGUGAGCAGAUCAGGAGUUAAGAAAAUGCUUAUCAAGGCCUUGGCACUCAGAGUUUCUGCCUGCAGAGAAACAAGAACAGAUGGAUACUUCCUUAACACCUGCUGCUGUGGGAGUCUUCUGAAACACUUGCAAGUAAGAAAUUAUUACUGCUAUAAAGUGUCUCUCAGUUUUAUUUGUUUAGAGCAUUUUUACAGAACAUGCAUGCAAUUUGUUUUAGGUUUCUCAACUUAGUUGUUGCUUUUGGAAAGCUGAGGAAGGAUCACUUA